UGCAGAUGAUGUGACAUAUUUGCUAUCUUAACACUCAUGAUGACAUAUCCACCAAGAUCACUGAUGCA
Small nucleolar RNA from Doryrhamphus excisus (bluestripe pipefish), 68 nucleotides. RefSeq annotates it as small nucleolar RNA SNORD24. The record is from RefSeq and is a predicted model, not a curated record. NCBI's taxonomy places the organism in Eukaryota, Metazoa, Chordata, Actinopteri, Syngnathiformes, Syngnathidae.